GGGGCUGAUUCUGGAUUCGACGGGAUUUGCGAAACCCAAGGUGCAUGCCGAGGGGCGGUUGGCCUCGUAAAAAGCCGCAAAAAAAUAGUCGCAAACGACGAAACCUACGCUUUAGCAGCUUAAUAACCUGCUUAGAGCCCUCUCUCCCUAGCCUCCGCUCUUAGGACGGGGAUCAAGAGAGGUCGAACCCAAAAGAGAUCGCGCGGAUGCCCUGCCUGGGGUUGAAGCGUUAAAACGAAUCAGGCUAGUCUGGUAGUGGCGUGUCCGUCCGCAGGUGCCAGGCGAAUGUAAAGACUGACUAAGCAUGUAGUACCGAGGAUGUAGGAAUUUCGGACGCGGGUUCAACUCCCGCCAGCUCCACCA
This 363-nucleotide transfer-messenger RNA is filed under the name Salmonella enterica. RNAcentral's name for it is "Standard tmRNA". It matches the Rfam family "transfer-messenger RNA". Rfam says of the family: Bacterial tmRNA, also known as 10Sa RNA or SsrA, is named for its dual tRNA and mRNA-like properties. Its role is to liberate the mRNA from a stalled ribosome. To accomplish this part of the tmRNA is used as a reading frame that ends in a translation stop signal. The record is from RNAcentral. RNAcentral also lists the same sequence under 2 other names. Lineage: Bacteria; Pseudomonadati; Pseudomonadota; Gammaproteobacteria; Enterobacterales; Enterobacteriaceae.